CUAACAGUUACUUCCUAACUGGAGUUAACUCAGGCCAGAUCAGGAAGGGGUAGCUGGCAUAGUAGACUAUUUCCAAACGAUGCGAGUCGAAUAACUCCGUAAUCAUCGCUACGGAGGACCCAUCCACUUCUCGCUGACCUCCCCUAUCGGCUGUACAUUCCUCAUUACAUACCAGACGUGUACUCUGAUGUAUGGCCAAAAAUCCAGGUGAAGCAGAGUGGAGGGCUGGAAGAGACAAGGGACUGCACCCUGCGAGACUGACGCCAGUGAACUGUUGGGACUUGAUAGCCACAAUCAAUAGUUUCUAAAACAAUAAGGUCGGCACGGUAAAGAUUCAGAUUUCUUGCCUCCAAAUGGAAUGGAAAGAAGACUGGGGUGCUUAGCCAUCGAGUAGGUAUUCUGGCAUUAAGAAUGGGAUCCUGAUCAAAGGAAAUCUGAAGAAAAUGGAAAGUAUAAAUUCUUUAAUAAAAAUGUAACCAACUAUUGAA
Molecule: long non-coding RNA, 488 nt
Organism: Balaenoptera ricei (Rice's whale)
Lineage: Eukaryota; Metazoa; Chordata; Mammalia; Artiodactyla; Balaenopteridae
Exons: 4
Source: RefSeq, a predicted model, not a curated record